UACACUCCUGCGGGAGGCAGCAGUGGGGAAUAUUGGACAAUGGGCGCAAGCCUGAUCCAGCCAUGCCGCGUGAGUGAUGAAGGCCCUAGGGUUGUAAAGCUCUUUCACCGGUGAAGAUAAUGACGGUAACCGGAGAAGAAGCCCCGGCUAACUUCGUGCCAGCAGCCGCGGUAAUACGAAGGGGGCUAGCGUUGUUCGGAUUUACUGGGCGUAAAGCGCACGUAGGCGGACUAUUAAGUCAGGGGUGAAAUCCCGGGGCUCAACCCCGGAACUGCCUUUGAUACUGGUAGUCUUGAGUUCGAGAGAGGUGAGUGGAAUUCCGAGUGUAGAGGUGAAAUUCGUAGAUAGUCGGAGGAACACCAGUGGCGAAGGCGGCUCACUGGCUCGAUACUGACGCUGAGGUGCGAAAGCGUGGGGAGCAAACAGGAUUAGAAACCCGGGUAGUCCCAUG
RNAcentral lists this ribosomal RNA (451 nucleotides) under uncultured organism. RNAcentral's name for it is "partial 16S ribosomal RNA". It matches the Rfam family "Bacterial small subunit ribosomal RNA", at positions 332 to 799 of the family's 1533-position model. The record is from RNAcentral.